Molecule: ribosomal RNA, 661 nt
Filed under: uncultured bacterium
Lineage: Bacteria
Description: bacterial SSU rRNA
Rfam family: Bacterial small subunit ribosomal RNA
Source: RNAcentral
AGUCGAACGGAAGUCGUUGUAAUGAAAUGGAAUGGACAGAGAACUUGUUCGAAGAAAGUUGAAGUAGACUUACAACAAUGGCUUUAGUGGCGGACUGGUGAGUAACGCGUAAGGAACCUGCCUUUUAGAGGGGAAUAACAAUGAGAAAUCAUUGCUAAUACCGCAUAUGCCGAGAGAAUCACAUGGUACAAUCGGGAAAGGAGCAAUUCGCUAAAAGAUGGCCUUGCGUCUGAUUAGAUAGUUGGUGGGGUAACGGCCUACCAAGUCGACGAUCAGUAGCCGGACUGAGAGGUUGAACGGCCACAUUGGGACUGAGAUACGGCCCAGACUCCUACGGGAGGCAGCAGUCGGGAAUAUUGCGCAAUGGAGGAAACUCUGACGCAGUGACGCCGCGUAUAGGAAGAAGGUUUUCGGAUUGUAAACUAUUGUCGUUAGGGAAGAGAAAGGACAGUACCUAAGGAGGAAGCUCCGGCUAACUACGUGCCAGCAGCCGCGGUAAUACGUAGGGAGCGAGCGUUAUCCGGAAUUAUUGGGUGUAAAGGGUGCGUAGACGGGAAGAUAAGUUAGUUGUGAAAUCCCUCGGCUUAACUGAGGAACUGCAACUAAAACUGUUUUUCUUGAGUGCAGGAGAGGUAAGUGGAAUUCCUAGUGUAGCGGUGAA